RNAcentral lists this ribosomal RNA (1532 nucleotides) under uncultured prokaryote. Its description in RNAcentral is "partial 16S ribosomal RNA". It matches the Rfam family "Bacterial small subunit ribosomal RNA". The record is from RNAcentral.
AGAGUUUGAUCCUGGCUCAGAUUGAACGCUGGCGGCAGGCCUAACACAUGCAAGUCGAGCGGUAGAGAGAAGCUUGCUUCUCUUGAGAGCGGCGGACGGGUGAGUAACGCGUAGGAAUCUACCCAGUAGUGGGGGACAACAGUUGGAAACGGCUGCUAAUACCGCAUACGCCCUAAGGGGGAAAGGCCGGGAUCUAUUUAUAGACCGGUCGCUAUUGGAGGAGCCUGGUAGGAUUAGCUAGUUGGUGGGGUAAAGGCCUACCAAGGCGACGAUCCUUAGCUGGUCUGAGAGGAUGAUCAGCCACACUGGAACUGAGACACGGUCCAGACUCCUACGGGAGGCAGCAGUGGGGAAUAUUGCGCAAUGGGGGAAACCCUGACGCAGCCAUGCCGCGUGUGUGAAGAAGGCUCUAGGGUUGUAAAGCACUUUAAGUUGGGAGGAAAGGGUAACGAUUAAUACUCGUUAUCUGUGACGUUACCAACAGAAUAAGCACCGGCUAACUCCGUGCCAGCAGCCGCGGUAAUACGGAGGGUGCAAGCGUUAAUCGGAAUUACUGGGCGUAAAGCGCGCGUAGGUGGUUGUGUAAGUGGAAUGUGAAAGCCCUGGGCUCAACCUGGGAACUGCAUACCAAACUGCGCAACUAGAGUACGAUAGAGGGGGGUAGAAUUUCAGGUGUAGCGGUGAAAUGCGUAGAGAUCUGAAGGAAUACCGGUGGCGAAGGCGGCCCCCUGGAUUGAUACUGACACUGAGGUGCGAAAGCGUGGGUAGCAAACAGGAUUAGAUACCCUGGUAGUCCAUGCCGUAAACGAUGUCAACUAGCCGUUGGAAGACUUGAUCUUUUAGUGGCGCAGCUAAACGCAAUAAGUAGACGCCUGGGGAGUACGGCCGCAAGGCUAAAACUCAAAUGAAUUGACGGGGGCCCGCACAAGCGGUGGAGCAUGUGGUUUAAUUCGACGCAACGCGAAGAACCUUACCUACUCUUGACAUCCUCGGAACUCGGCAGAGAUGCCUUGGUGCCUUCGGGAACCGAGUGACAGGUGCUGCAUGGCUGUCGUCAGCUUGUGUUGUGAAAUGUUGGGUUAAGUCCCGUAACGAGCGCAACCCUUGUCCUUAUUUGCCAGCACGUAAUGGGGGGAACUCUAAGGAGACUGCCGGUGACAAACCGGAGGAAGGUGGGGACGACGUCAAGUCAUCAUGGCCCUUACGAGUAGGGCUACACACGUGCUACAAUGGCCAGUACAGAGGGCUGCAAACCUGCGAGGGGGAGCUAAUCUCAGAAAACUGGUCGUAGUCCGGAUCGCAGUCUGCAACUCGACUGCGUGAAGUCGGAAUCGCUAGUAAUCGUGAAUCAGAAUGUCACGGUGAAUACGUUCCCGGGCCUUGUACACACCGCCCGUCACACCAUGGGAGUGGAUUGCACCAGAAGUAGCUAGCUUAACCUUCGGGAGGGCGGUUACCACGGUGUGGUUCAUGACUGGGGUGAAGUCGUAACAAGGUAGCCCUAGGGGAACCUGGGGCUGGAUCACCUCCUU